GGCGCCGCGCGCUGGAAGGAGCCCGCCGCGGUCCCGGGCAGCCACGGGCCCCGGCCGCCGCCGUCCGGGGAGGGGAGGGGGAGCCACGUGCGGUUCCGAGAGCAGCCGCCUCUUCCCACCAAGCCCCCACCCAGCCCUCUGUCCCCUGCUCCGUUUACUCCCAGUUAUCAAGACGGCCCUCCUCCAGGAUGUGUGUGGAAUAGAAAAGGUACAAGGAGCCAGGGAGUGGGAGGAGGAGGAUGAGGAAGAGUCACUGAAGAAAAUACCUAAACAAAGGACAGUCCCUCAAAACUGGCUCAGCACCCUAUUUGCAAGCAGGCUUGGAAGAACAUUCUUCUCCGGUGGACAAGGAGCCCCACUGCCCAGGGGGAAGGAGGCUGGCGCUGCGCUCUCCGUGGCAAUUAGGAGGUGUUGGCCUAGAAAAUUUCCAGCCACAGAGAAGUUAGAAGUUAUAAUAUGUCGAGAGUCAGAAUAAAGAAGGAACAAGAGAAAGAUCAAAUGGGGAAAUCCUCAAAGCCAAUCUCCUUCUCAGGUCGUUUUAAAUCAAUAGGAGAAAAACAGAACUUGAUUCUUCCAGUAAUAGAAAAUGGCUAAGACUUAGCAACCCUAAUUCCAGUGAAGCUGAUCACCCAGAACCUGAGCGCUGCAGGGGACUUUUCUAGGGUCCAAACAGAGGGCAUCAAUGCCAGAAGCUAGGCCGACUGAUGUCUGUCGCCUCUAUAUAACUUAACCUUAAAAAGAAGUCCACUGGGAUUUGGAUGCUGCUUCUACAUUUUUCCUCUACUUGUAUUUCCAUGAUCAGUGGAUCCUGAAUACAUGCUUAAAGAAUAAAUGAGACAGUCAUAUCACCAAGAUCACGACUGUUGAACUAAGGGGCCAACUGAUUUUGUAUGAUGAUGAAACAAACUGCCACUGUUGAUUCGGGAGCCACACCUAAAGGACUUUGGUUGUUACCUUGCCAGUUAUCAUAGACCAGUGACCAUCUCUCUUCUUAACGACGAUGGUAGGACCUAAAAUCUUCGUGAAUGCCCUCAGAUGUCCCAGUGUUGAGGACAUUCAUAAAUUGUGCUUGGAAAACCACUGGGCCUGGGAGUGGUGUCUUUCCUUUGGCUUGGUGGCGGACACUGCCGACUGCUUACUCAAUGUCCAAUGGAGCUGCAAUUAUUUUUUUAGGGUGGCAAUGUGCCCAGAUAAAAACAGGCACUUCCCUUCCCCAGCUUCCACUGCCCUUAGAGGCGAGCCAUGAAACACAGACCUGGCCAAGGAGUUGGUGGUGGGAGUUCCUGGGGGGAGAGAGUCUCCGACACUCCCCCAUUUCCUGAAAAAAGCAAAAACAAAAAACCCCCAGUCUUGUAAGGCUUUUCACCAGGCUCUUCUUCCUGGGACGUCUAGAGGUAGAACAACCCUCUUCAACCAUGCAGAUGAAAGCCACCUGAUAAGGGUGGCGAGCAGAAAAUCAGGAGGGGGCCAGGUCCUCACGCAGCUGCGCCAGCCCCGUACCACCUGUUUCUGAAUUCCUGUAUUAGGUGAAAAAAAUCCCCAUUUGGUUAAGUCACUGUGGUUAAACUGAGCAUAAUUCUGACUAUAAAGGCUUAAAGUAUACAAAAGUUUCACCCCACUGUGGCAGUUUAUCUCCAUUAUGCAAAACAAUAUCAAGGUCAUUAAAAGUACUCUAAGGAGAUAAUGCAUAAUUAAAACAGCAGCUUACAUUUAUGGAAGAUUUACUCUUGUCCUAGGCACUGUACUAUGCAGUUUACACAUAUUUAACCUUAUACAGCACUAGGCAUUAGGUACUAUUGUUACCACUUCACAAAAAAAAGGCUUGUCAGACUCAGGGAGGUUGAACAAUGAAUUCAAGGUCACCCAGCUGGUAAGGGACAGCCGAUCCCAAAUCCAGGUCUGCCCGCCUCCAAAACCCAUACCCCUCACCACUCAUUGUAUUUUACUACAAGAUCAAAGAAGAAAAUCUCUGGGUUCUGGUUUAUUCUGCCAGUGACAAAUCUCUCUACUACAAUCUCGAUUUAUUCUACAUUAAAUUUUCCCGGUAUUCACAAACUGUAAGGAAUAAGCAUCUGUAAUUACAUACAUUUAAAGGGGGGCUUUACUGGGGGCAACCCAGGGCUUCCUCCAGGACUCAGGCCGGGAGGCGGCGGGGACCCACGCCUCUGCCUCGUCUCGCGCCUGAUUUCCUCUCGGCUCCUUCCUACAUCCUUACUGCUGCCGGGUUGGGGCAUAUAAGGCUCUGAGCACCAAUUAUGUAAAGUUUAAUUACAUAACUCCUUUCAGGCCAGUCUUCACUUGUCCCAGAGUAAGACCCUAGGAUGACUCCUCUUUCAGCUCUUCCCAGUGGGGGGAAAGAACAGGGAUCCCAGCGUGGAGCUGUCCCACCGCUGUCGGCAGUGACGGUGGAUCUUUAAAUCCAAGAGUUUUCUUCUACAAAUUAUUAUAAAGUAUGGGCCUAUGUAAGAACAUCCUGAGGGAAAUUAGCAUUGUUGGGGCAGACAGGGGCAUUCCCUCUGUAUUCUCUUGUUUAUUGUGAAAUAGUGCUCAGUAUCAAUUUAUUGAAUAAAUGAAGGAAUGCAUAAAAGUAGCAGACCACCGUUGUUAAGUAUUGGACCUUCCUGAAAUAUUCUAAAGCAUGAAAUUUCAGACUUCCUAAAAUACUAAAAAAUUCAGACAUUCUAAAAUGCUAAAAAUGUCAUGCCUGUUUACUCCUAAAAUUGUAUGGCAUGCUUUUCAUUACACCUAUACAGUAUUUAAAAAACAUUUAGUAUGUUUCUUUUUAAAUUCAAGUCAGUCGUUUCCAAAUAUUAUUCAAGUAACCCCCUAGGGAUUCUGCAGCUCCCUUCACUAAGAUUGGCAUGCACUUAUAUUAUCAAUUAUUCUAGUCCCCUCUUCUUAUGGACAAGCCUGGAUCUUAUCAUCUGUUCCUUUAAGAUUUCUAAAUUUCCUUAAAGCCUUAUCAGCUCCCAGACACUGCAAUACUAUGUGUGACUACAUCCAGUUUUGAAUUUUCAGUCUCCUCUCUCUCUACUCCUGAUCUAUUGAAUUCUGUUUUAAAAGAAAAUAUAACUGUUCUAUUUUGCCUUUCCCUUGACCCUGGGUUUUAGUACAUUAUAAAAUUUAUGUUAAGUGUGGCAAAUUUAACAUUUUAAGGCAACACCAGUCACAGAUAUUUUCCUCUUUGACCCAGAAAUGCAAUUUUGAUUAAGUGAAGUUUUAUAUUUUUAUAUGGUGGAGUUUUCUGUUUGUUGGUUUAUUUAAUUAUUUUUCCCCAGGUAGGGACCAUUGGGGAAUAAUCUUGUUAGCUAGGAGAGAUGGGAAAGGAUCGUUAGCAUUUUCCUAUGAAAGUAUGUCAAAAUGAUUGGCAGCAUUAGUAAUUUGUUAUCAAUAUGGUAAGUAACACAACUG
Non-coding RNA from Manis javanica (Malayan pangolin), 3411 nucleotides. Lineage: Eukaryota; Metazoa; Chordata; Mammalia; Pholidota; Manidae. The record is from RefSeq and is a predicted model, not a curated record.